UACAGAGGGUGCAAGCGUUAAUCGGAAUUACUGGGCGUAAAGCGUGCGCAGGCGGUUAUGUAAGACAGAUGUGAAAUGCCCGGGCUUAACCUGGGAACUGCAUUUGUGACUGCAUGGCUAGAGUGUGUCAGAGGGGGUAGAAUUCCACGUGUAGCAGUGAAAUGCGUAGAUAUGUGGAGGAAUACCGAUGGCGAAGGCAGCCCCCUGGGAUAACACUGACGCUCAUGCACGAAAGCGUGGGGAGCAAACAGG
This 252-nucleotide ribosomal RNA is filed under the name uncultured bacterium. RNAcentral describes it as "partial 16S ribosomal RNA". It matches the Rfam family "Bacterial small subunit ribosomal RNA", at positions 524 to 776 of the family's 1533-position model. The record is from RNAcentral.